Molecule: ribosomal RNA, 522 nt
Filed under: Bacillus subtilis
Lineage: Bacteria; Bacillati; Bacillota; Bacilli; Caryophanales; Bacillaceae
Description: bacterial SSU rRNA
Rfam family: Bacterial small subunit ribosomal RNA
Source: RNAcentral
GUAGGAACGGAGGAAAGCCAACGCCGCGCUGAGUGAUGAAGGUGUAUUCGGAUCGUAAAGCUCUGUUGUUAGGGAAGAACAAGUACCGUUCGAAUAGGGCGGUACCUUGACGGUACCUAACCAGAAAGCCACGGCUAACUACGUGCCAGCAGCCGCGGUAAUACGUAGGUGGCAAGCGUUGUCCGGAAUUAUUGGGCGUAAAGGGCUCGCAGGCGGUUUCUUAAGUCUGAUGUGAAAGCCCCCGGCUCAACCGGGGAGGGUCAUUGGAAACUGGGGAACUUGAGUGCAGAAGAGGAGAGUGGAAUUCCACGUGUAGCGGUGAAAUGCGUAGAGAUGUGGAGGAACACCAGUGGCGAAGGCGACUCUCUGGUCUGUAACUGACGCUGAGGAGCGAAAGCGUGGGGAGCGAACAGGAUUAGAUACCCUGGUAGUCCACGCCGUAAACGAUGAGUGCUAAGUGUUAGGGGGUUUCCGCCCCUUAGUGCUGCAGCUAACGCAUUAAGCACUCCGCCCGGGGGAGGA